GCCUACGGCAAUACAACCCUGGCAACGCCCGAUCUCGUCUGAUUCGGAAGAUAAGAGGGUCGGCCCGGUUAGUACUGGAUGGGAGACCUCCUGGGAAUACGGGUGCUGUAGGCU
RNAcentral lists this ribosomal RNA (114 nucleotides) under Anas platyrhynchos (mallard). The record is from RNAcentral. Lineage: Eukaryota; Metazoa; Chordata; Aves; Anseriformes; Anatidae.